Small nucleolar RNA from Homo sapiens (human), 64 nucleotides. The record is from Ensembl. Lineage: Eukaryota; Metazoa; Chordata; Mammalia; Primates; Hominidae.
AUCAUUAUUGUUAUUAUUAUAUUUUUGAGAAGGAAUCUCACUCUGUCGCCCAGGCUGGAGUGCA